Molecule: ribosomal RNA, 688 nt
Filed under: Pseudomonas aeruginosa
Lineage: Bacteria; Pseudomonadati; Pseudomonadota; Gammaproteobacteria; Pseudomonadales; Pseudomonadaceae
Description: bacterial SSU rRNA
Rfam family: Bacterial small subunit ribosomal RNA
Source: RNAcentral
AGGGAGCUUGCUCCUGGAUUCAGCGGCGGACGGGUGAGUAAUGCCUAGGAAUCUGCCUGGUAGUGGGGGAUAACGUCCGGAAACGGGCGCUAAUACCGCAUACGUCCUGAGGGAGAAAGUGGGGGAUCUUCGGACCUCACGCUAUCAGAUGAGCCUAGGUCGGAUUAGCUAGUUGGUGGGGUAAAGGCCUACCAAGGCGACGAUCCGUAACUGGUCUGAGAGGAUGAUCAGUCACACUGGAACUGAGACACGGUCCAGACUCCUACGGGAGGCAGCAGUGGGGAAUAUUGGACAAUGGGCGAAAGCCUGAUCCAGCCAUGCCGCGUGUGUGAAGAAGGUCUUCGGAUUGUAAAGCACUUUAAGUUGGGAGGAAGGGCAGUAAGUUAAUACCUUGCUGUUUUGACGUUACCAACAGAAUAAGCACCGGCUAACUUCGUGCCAGCAGCCGCGGUAAUACGAAGGGUGCAAGCGUUAAUCGGAAUUACUGGGCGUAAAGCGCGCGUAGGUGGUUCAGCAAGUUGGAUGUGAAAUCCCCGGGCUCAACCUGGGAACUGCAUCCAAAACUACUGAGCUAGAGUACGGUAGAGGGUGGUGGAAUUUCCUGUGUAGCGGUGAAAUGCGUAGAUAUAGGAAGGAACACCAGUGGCGAAGGCGACCACCUGGACUGAUACUGACACUGAGGUGCGAA